CCUACGGGAGGCAGCAGUGAGGAAUAUUGGUCAAUGGGCGCGAGCCUGAACCAGCCAAGUCGCGUGAGGGAAGACGGUCCUAUGGAUUGUAAACCUCUUUUGUCGGGGAGCAAAAGACGCCACGCGUGGCGUUCCGAGAGUACCCGAAGAAAAAGCAUCGGCUACCUCCGUGCCAGCAGCCGCGGUAAUACGGAGGAUGCGAGCGUUAUCCGGAUUUAUUGGGUUUAAAGGGUGCGCAGGCGGAAGAUCAAGUCAGCGGUAAAAUUGAGAGGCUCAACCUCUUAGAGCCGUUGAAACUGGUUUGCUUGAGUGAGCGAGAAGUAUGCGGAAUGCGUGGUGUAGCGGUGAAAUGCAUAGAUAUCACGCAGAACUCCGAUUGCGAAGGCAGCAUACCGGCGCUCAACUGACGCUCAUGCACGAAAGUGUGGGUAUCGAACAGGAUUAGAUACCCUAGUAGUC
RNAcentral lists this ribosomal RNA (459 nucleotides) under uncultured bacterium. RNAcentral describes it as "partial 16S ribosomal RNA". It matches the Rfam family "Bacterial small subunit ribosomal RNA", at positions 338 to 795 of the family's 1533-position model. The record is from RNAcentral.